RNAcentral lists this non-coding RNA (23 nucleotides) under Gossypium hirsutum (cotton). The record is from RNAcentral. Lineage: Eukaryota; Viridiplantae; Streptophyta; Magnoliopsida; Malvales; Malvaceae.
CUAUAUGCUUUGAUGGACACAUG